RNAcentral lists this ribosomal RNA (253 nucleotides) under uncultured bacterium. RNAcentral's name for it is "partial 16S ribosomal RNA". It matches the Rfam family "Bacterial small subunit ribosomal RNA", at positions 524 to 776 of the family's 1533-position model. The record is from RNAcentral.
UACGUGGGGUGCAAGCGUUAAUCGGAAUUACUGGGCGUAAAGCGUGCGCAGGCGGUUAUGCAAGACAGAUGUGAAAUCCCCGGGCUUAACCUGGGAACCGCAUUUGUGACUGCAUAGCUGGAGUACGGCAGAGGGGGAUGGAAUUCCGCGUGUAGCAGUGAAAUGCGUAGAUAUGCGGAGGAACACCGAUGGCGAAGGCAGUCCCCUGGGCCUGUACUGACGCUCAUGCACGAAAGCGUGGGGAGCAAACAGG